UACGAGAGGCCCAAACGUUAUUCGGAAUUACUGGGCUUAAAGAGUUCGUAGGCGGCGCAGAAAGUAGGGUGUGAAAGCCCUCGGCUUAACCGAGGAACUGCGCUUGAAACUACCAGACUCGAGGGAGAUAGAGGAAAGCGGAACUGAUGGUGGAGCGGUGAAAUGCGUUGAUAUCAUCAGGAACACCGGUGGCGAAGGCGGCUUUCUGGGUCUUACCUGACGCUGAGGAACGAAAGCUAGGGGAGCGAACGGG
Molecule: ribosomal RNA, 253 nt
Filed under: uncultured bacterium
Lineage: Bacteria
Description: partial 16S ribosomal RNA
Rfam family: Bacterial small subunit ribosomal RNA
Source: RNAcentral